Molecule: ribosomal RNA, 439 nt
Filed under: uncultured bacterium
Lineage: Bacteria
Description: partial 16S ribosomal RNA
Rfam family: Bacterial small subunit ribosomal RNA
Source: RNAcentral
CUACGGGUUGCUGCAGUGAGGAAUAUUGCACAAUGGAGGAAACUCUGAUGCAGCAACGCCGCGUGGAGGAUGACGCAUUUCGGUGUGUAAACUCCUUUUAUAUGUCAAGAAAAUGGCGGUAGCAUAUGAAUAAGCACCGGCUAACUCCGUGCCAGCAGCCGCGGUAAUACGGAGGGUGCAAGCGUUACUCGGAAUCACUGGGCGUAAAGGACGCGUAGGCGGGAUAUCAAGUCAGGUGUGAAAUCCUACAGCUUAACUGUAGAACUGCACUUGAAACUGCUAAUCUAGAGUAUGGGAGGGGGAGAUGGAAUUAGUGGUGUAGGGGUAAAAUCCGUAGAUAUCACUAGGAAUACCUAAAGCGAAGGCGAUCUCCUGGAACAUUACUGACGCUAAGGCGUGAAAGCGUGGGGAGCAAACAGGAUUAGAUACCCGGGUAGUC